CGUACAGGCGGUGAUGCAAGUCAGAUGUGAAAUCCAUCGGCUCAACCGGUGAUCUGCAUUUGAAACUGUAUUGCUUGAGUACAGGAGAGGAGAGCGGAAUUCUUGGUGUAGCGGUGGAAUGUGUAGAUAUCCAGAAGAACACCAGUGGCGAAGGCGGCUCUCUGGCCUGAUACUGACGCUGACGCGCGAAAGCUAGGGGAGCAAACAGGAUUAGAUACCCUGGUAGUCCUAGCCGUAAACGUUGGGCACUAGGUGUUGGAGGUAUCGACCCCUUCAGUGCCGAAGCUAACGCAUUAAGUGCCCCGCCUGGGGAGUACGGCCGCAAGGUUGAA
This 332-nucleotide ribosomal RNA is filed under the name uncultured bacterium. Its description in RNAcentral is "bacterial SSU rRNA". It matches the Rfam family "Bacterial small subunit ribosomal RNA", at positions 568 to 898 of the family's 1533-position model. The record is from RNAcentral.